GCCCAUAUGGCUCAGUCGGUAGAGCGCACCCUUGGUAAGGGUGAGGUCAUCGGUUCAAUUCCGGUUAUGGGCACCA
RNAcentral lists this transfer RNA (76 nucleotides) under Thiotrichaceae bacterium. RNAcentral's name for it is "tRNA-Thr". It matches the Rfam family "tRNA". From Rfam's summary of the family: Transfer RNA (tRNA) molecules are approximately 80 nucleotides in length. Their secondary structure includes four short double-helical elements and three loops (D, anti-codon, and T loops). Lineage: Bacteria; Pseudomonadati; Pseudomonadota; Gammaproteobacteria; Thiotrichales; Thiotrichaceae. The record is from RNAcentral.